RNAcentral lists this ribosomal RNA (449 nucleotides) under uncultured bacterium. Its description in RNAcentral is "bacterial SSU rRNA". It matches the Rfam family "Bacterial small subunit ribosomal RNA", at positions 28 to 457 of the family's 1533-position model. The record is from RNAcentral.
GAUGAACGCUGGCGGCGUGCCUAACACAUGCAAGUCGAGCGAAGCACUUUGCUUUGAUUCUUUCGGGAGGAAAAGUAAUUUGACUGAGCGGCGGACGGGUGAGUAACGCGUGGGUAACCUGCCUCAUACAGGGGGAUAACAGUUAGAAAUGACUGCUAAUACCGCAUAAGACCACAGUACUGCAUGGUACAGUGGUAAAAACUCCGGUGGUAUGAGAUGGACCCGCGUCUGAUUAGCUGGUUGGUGGGGUAACGGCCCACCAAGGCGACGAUCAGUAGCCGGCCUGAGAGGGUGAACGGCCACAUUGGGACUGAGACACGGCCCAAACUCCUACGGGAGGCAGCAGUGGGGGAUAUUGCACAAUGGGGGAAACCCUGAUGCAGCGACGCCGCGUGAGCGAUGAAGUAUUUCGGUAUGUAAAGCUCUAUCAGCAGGGAAGAAAAUGACGG